UAGAGUCGAGUUAUGUCAGAACCGCCGUGAAGAACCUCUGUCACUUUGAGUGUGAUUAUGAGAAAUGCACUUAAUGGGACCUCUCCAUGAUUCAAUGAUCGAAUGAAGAUUUUAAAUGUUUUUGUGACAUUUGCCAACUACAAGAUGUUCUUCUGAUUAGAAAAUCUCAUUAAAAGAAGGUUGGAGAGUUUUUUUUUUAAUACUUUUUUUCUUUGUGAAUAGUUUCAUGAAUUUUGUUGUGGACCUAAUCAUUUUUUUAACUGAUUCAAUUUUGCAGAUUUGCUGGUGAUGACUUAGCUGAAUCACACCAAGUUGUCUUAGAACGUGACCUUUUAUUCCUGGGAAAAGAGCAUCAAUUGAAUUAUCCUUUUGAUGUUCAGGAGCAGAAAACAAGACUGAAGCAUCCUUAUCCAUUCAUCACAAUUGCUCCAAAUAAUUCAGAACUGUCUUUCAGGAUAGAUAAAAAGUUUAAAUUUUCUUCUUGUCCGUAUUCGUUACAAGGCAAACUACAGGAGUCCCAAUGGGCUUCCCAGUACUAUCAACCAGCCGUAAAGAUGAUUAUGACAGAUGGCAAUAUUAAUCAGGAAGAAUACAAACGUUUGAAAACAUACCAUAUGCCAUUUGGAUUCUUUGAUGAAAAUGAGCUCAAGUUUGAAGAGCUCUCCAAAACAUUGAAACUGUUUUCGGAGGAGGAAUCCGUUCUUGGUUUCGGGAAUCAUCAGAGACCUCGAUGCGUGAGCUGUGCAAUCGUGGGAAAUGGAGGAAUCCUGAAUGGAUCUGGCCUGG
Molecule: long non-coding RNA, 786 nt
Organism: Strongylocentrotus purpuratus (purple sea urchin)
Lineage: Eukaryota; Metazoa; Echinodermata; Echinoidea; Camarodonta; Strongylocentrotidae
Exons: 3
Source: RefSeq, a predicted model, not a curated record